AUGUCCACGGCUCGUCGACCCGGCGUGGUAGUGAACGGCGUUCAAAGAGCAAGAACCCACCACUACUAUUGGUGCCGGCGCUGCCAACGCUCCAUCAGAACCACCACCACCGACCCCUCCCAAGUCCUAUGCCCGCGCUGCUUCGGCCAAAUCCGCCACGAGCUCGACGUCUCCAGGCCCGGCCCCCUCCUGGAGUCCGGCCUCGACCCCUCUCCAGCCGCGCGCGUGCUGGACGCCCUCGCCCGGAUGCUCGACCCGCCCACCCCGCCACGCCAGCAAAUCGAAGACGGCGAAAGCAGCAGGCGCCGCUCCUUGAUACUGCUUCAGUUCAUCGGGCCCGAUCAAUAUCAUCCUCCCACCGAGCCCGUGGUUGCCGGGAGUGACAGGGCGGCGGCGGUGGAGGCGCUGCCGGUGGUGGAGGUGAGCGAGGAGCGGCGGAAGAGCGAGUGGUGCUGCCCGGUUUGCAAGGAGGACUUCGAGGUUGGGGUGAGAGUUAGGGAGCUUCCGUGCAAGCACUUCUAUCAUGAUGAUUGCAUUAUUCCUUGGCUGCAAAUGCACAACACGUGCCCCGUGUGUCGCUACGAGGUGCAAGGGCUACCGUCUAACAACAACGACAAUAACAACGAUAUGAAUAGUAAUUUCUUCUUCCCUGGUGAUGAAUACGAUCUUGGGUAUAGAGGCGGAGAAGAAGGAGGUGAUGGUUCCGGAAAUUGGAGGUGGCCGGAGAUCUUCUCGUCGAGGCCAUUCAGUUUCCUUAUGAAUUGGGCAAAUCUAUGCCUUGACUUUAUUGACGACACCAUCGCUCCAGGAGGUAACUCUUGGUGGCGAUCUUGGCCCAUGCCAUAGCUAGCUUUGUCAUUUAAUUGAAGGUAAAAUUAAUAAUAUGAAUUAGACAUUAAAGAGGAUGAAGAUAGGUUCAGCACAGGUACUCAGAGUCUCAGAGCAACAAUUGGUGGAAACGAUUCAGAGUUAAUUAGUACUAGUAUGCUCUAUAAUCAGCUGACUCAAUGGAGAUGGGAGGUGCUGCCCUGCUUGCCCAAAUUGCGGAGAUACUUAUCUAAUUUGUAAAUAUAUCGAUAGUUUAUAUAGAGCAGCAUUAUUUAUUUGUUUUUAUCUUUUUAUUUAAUAAAUACAGAUUGGUGUUGCAUAUAAAAAAUUUCA
Salvia hispanica is the source of this 1161-nucleotide non-coding RNA. Lineage: Eukaryota; Viridiplantae; Streptophyta; Magnoliopsida; Lamiales; Lamiaceae. The record is from RefSeq and is a predicted model, not a curated record.